This 307-nucleotide ribosomal RNA is filed under the name uncultured Russula. RNAcentral's name for it is "eukaryotic LSU rRNA". The record is from RNAcentral. Lineage: Eukaryota; Fungi; Basidiomycota; Agaricomycetes; Russulales; Russulaceae.
ACGCACCUUGCGCCCCUUGGAAUUCCGAAGGGCACACCCGUUUGAGUGUCGUGAACAUCCUUCAACCUUUCUCGGUUUCUUGACCGGGGAAGGCUUGGACGUUGGGGGGUCUUUCAUUGCUGGCCUCUUCGAAGCCAGCUCCUCCUAAUGGAUUAGUGUGGUCUGCUUUGUGGAUCCUUGACGCGAUAAGAUGUUUCUACGUCUUGGGUUUCGCACUGUAGCUUCGGACCCCGCCUCUAACCGUCUUGCAUUCAAGACAGAGUCUUGAACCUUGACCUCAAUCGGGUGAGACUACCCGCUGAACUUA